Molecule: long non-coding RNA, 451 nt
Organism: Onychostoma macrolepis
Lineage: Eukaryota; Metazoa; Chordata; Actinopteri; Cypriniformes; Cyprinidae
Exons: 4
Source: RefSeq, a predicted model, not a curated record
CGGGAUUCAGACGUUAAUUCGGUGCUCUGUAAAUCGGCCUUUUCUGGUCCAGCAGGUUUGCCGUAGUUCUACUACUGUAUAUAAAUAGCUUUAGCCAUUCCUCUUGACUGGAUUUGUUCUUUAUUCAUUCUACGAUGAAGACCCUGAAUGAAGAACCUUUUCUUCCUGUUUGGAAACCACCAUGAUAUUCUACCACCAGACACAAGAAAUGGAUGAAAUGGAGCUGCACUGUGACCUAGAGUCUUAAAACAGUAUGCUCCGAAACUCAGACUAACUCCGUCUAAGGUCGACUCUACAGCAAGCUGGAAUAGAAUGUGACAAACCACAUGGAACAAGUCAGCUGACUGCAACAUUUACACCUGUUGUGUGUUACACACCUGUGUCUGCAGCUGUCGAUCUCCAUUUGCUUUUUGGAAGAGCUGAACAACAUCAUCCGAUCAUCACCCACAUU